RNAcentral lists this long non-coding RNA (3860 nucleotides) under Macaca fascicularis (crab-eating macaque). Its description in RNAcentral is "lncRNA (ENSMFAG00000060133.1)". The record is from RNAcentral. Lineage: Eukaryota; Metazoa; Chordata; Mammalia; Primates; Cercopithecidae.
AGUUUCACCAUGUUGGCCAGGCUGGUCUCGAACUCCUGACCUCAAGUGAUCCGCCUGCCUUGGCUUCGCAAAGUGCUGGGAUUACAGGCCUGAGCCACCACACCCAGCCAACACUGGGAUCUUGUAGACUGUGCUAUUCAUUCAGGGUAUUCCCAAUAAGUACCUUGCUGAACCCUAACAACAAACUUCUAGAUGUGAGCCUCAAGACACAGGGACUGAAGGUGACACUGGCAUAUGUAGGCAGGCCAGACAUGCUGCAAAGCUGGGCACCCACCCCACCUUACCCUCUUUUCGUCAAGAGUAUAUAACUUCCUACUGAGCACUGUUUUGAGAACUCACUGUGCUGAGUUGUUUUUGUACAGUAUCCCAUUGAAAACUCAGAACAGUCCUAUAGUGUAACUACUGUUUCCCCAUCUCACAGGUGCUUACAGAGGUUAAUUCCAUAGCUGUUAAGGGGUACAACACGUCCUACUGCCUGCAACUCCCUCCCGUGGGCCUUUGUCUCAGAUCCAGCAACCAUUCAGACUCAAGAUCCCUGCAGGCUACGCUGGGCGUGGCAUUUACUUUGAAGGCUGUCAGACAGGAAAUGGCCUGGCUGCAGGGCAGCAGGAAGCAGCCCUCUUCAGGGGAGGAGGGCAGUCCUCGCAGAGCCUCCAGUCAUCUAUCGGUCAUGGGAGUUAUUCUCCUUGGUUGCCCAGGUGACAGCUCAGGUACAAAGGAAUGAGACACAUGAGGGAGAAGGGGGUUGGUUCACUGUGGCUUAGAGGCAUCAUUCCCCAAAGGUGCUCAUAUCUCUUUGAACAACUCAAGAGGCACAGCUUUCAGGGACCCCAUAAGCCACAUACCCAACUGAGUCAUUACACAUAGGAAGCCCAACAUUAUGGCUUUUUAACAAGUGUUUAUAGUUCACACAGAAAACUCCAAGUGCAGAUAAUUUACAAUUAGGAAUCAUGUUUACCAUAAGUAGUGCUGCACUGAAACAGCUGACAUACUUUUAUCUGGUUUCCAGACAAAACUAGAAAGGUAACCAGAUGUCAGGUUCUGCAGGAAGGGAGAGGAUUAUUCACACUGCCAUAACCUCUGGGGUCAAAACUAAAUGUUGUUUAAGGAGGAAGAAAAAAACCCCUCAACUUUGGAAAUUGUUUCAAAAGCCAGGCUUUCUAAUAGUGACCCAGAAUCAUUAGCAGCACUCACACUGGCCUCAGACCCAGUGCACACAUGCUGCAGUGUUGGAGAGACCGUUCCAUGAACCCCAGCAGUCCAGUAGCCCACCAAGUGGAAAGGCACAGGUGACAGAGGUCUCGUGGCACCAGCUUCACGUGGCUCACCCUCAAUGCUCGGACAGGGAGAUGAUACUGACUUUGCUGAGCUCAGAAGGGAAACACCAAACACUUGGGGAGGUAACAGAGAUCUAGGCCCCACCUAAGGCCGAAUCAACUGUUCCUGCCCUCACACUGGUGCUAUACUCCCUCGUUGGGAAGAGCCUGAAGGUGAAUCCCUCCUUCUUUACCACCAAAACGAAAAGUGUGGGAAACCUUGAGAAAAGGGUCCCGACACUUCUUCCCUCAGGAGCCCUCAGCUUUUUGCAGCCUCUUUACCUAAGUACCCUGAGUCACUGGACAUGGUCUUGCCACCACAGUCCGUCAGGGCAGCGCCACAGCUUCCAGCCUCCAGCCCAGGGGCAGUCACAGCCGAGCAUCAGAACUGUGGCUCUGUGCAGUGCCAAAGCGACUGCAGGUGCCCACAGAGGCUGGCAGCCCACAGUACCCAGGGCACAGACACUAGGAUGGAGCCACUCAAGUCAGAGAUACUCUGCAGCAGCUGGAGCUGGGCCCUGUCAGAAGCCAGGUGGAGAUCCUCAGGCUGAAGGCAGCACACCAGGGGAGGGCUUGAGACCAAGGGAGGCUGGAGUGAUGUGGGUCCCGGGACCUGGAAAGCUGUGUCUGUAACUCCCCUCCCCAGAGUUCACUCUUCUUGAUCAUCAUUGUUCUCUCCUGCACCUGCCUGGGCUUAUUCCUCUUCCCUAUCCCUCUGCCCCUUGACUAACCUUCCUGGGCAAACAGCACAGACUGUGACGUGGGAGCUGUGAAGAGGGGAUGGCAUCCCUGCUGUGGGUUCAGGGAUUGUGGCCAUGUGGGCCACCCAGUGGACACUGUCCAGAUAACAUGAAAAGAGGCCAUCCACAGCAGCUCAGCUCUCUGCCCCUCAUCUUUGGGCCCCACCUCACAUUCAUAAAGAGGCUUAAAUUCUAGGGUUUUUUCCUUCAGUUCAAGAUGAGGUUUGUCAGUGAGGUCACAGACGUCCAGCAAGAGGGUUAGCGGGGUUGCUUAUCCCCCAACUCGGAACCCACCACCCCGAGCUGCCUGCAGAGGACCUAUACUUUCUAAUACUAUGACCCAAUACUAGAGAGCCAGAGACACCGUAAAUAACCGUUAUCUUAUAUUUAUGUAUUUAAAAGAUGGUUCAUAAAUGUAUUUAGUGCUUACCAUGUAAGACAAUUUUUACCCCCAUCUCCAAAACGAAGUAGAACUGAUAUUCAGCUCACAGAAGGCUGUUAAAGGCACCAGAGAAAUACGUGAUGCAGUGGCUUAAAGAGACUGCCAGGAAGAGUGGGCAAAGUUUCUGCACUGAAGUCAAUUUGGGAAAUGUCAUACAGAUCAGCCACCCAAUAGCAAGGCCUCUAGGUAAGUAGGGAGAACGCCUCUGGUCCUGUUCGGGUGUUUCGUCUGUCAAGGUGCUUCUCCUGGCCAGCUGUGUCUGCACAGUUCAACACGACUUGAGUUGGCCAUCUCAAAACAGCUAUAGCCUCAGUUGCUGUGAGGGCACCUCAUGGAUGACAGAGGCAAGAAAGGCUUGAGGGAGAGGGGGUGAGGCAGGGGGAGCUUGGAGCCUUCAUUCUCUAACCCUAAGAGCUGUGGACACAGAGCCGAGUCCAACCUGGCUGCUGCCUGGGCAGGCAAGGAGAGGGCACCGAACGCACUCCCCCCAGAGCCUCGCACUGCCACCAGUUGAGGCCUGUGCCCCUCUCUUCCCUGCACACCAUAGCCUCUCUUCUUGAGUGCCCUACCCAAACUACUGCCUAGGAAACAAACAUUUGGUAACAUCUUCAGAAAGGCUGCUUGCAAGGAAGGCAACUUCUCUAUGCUGUCAAACAGCUUCCUUAGUUGAAGCAUCUAACUCUGGCCCCGUCCUUACUGCCCCCAGUCGGGGCUUCCAGAAGCAGUGUGGGCAAGUGCUGCUGGCCUUCUGCAGAAUGAUGAGCACUGGUCAGUCCUGUGCUGAUAAAGGCUGGUGUGUCCCCCAUGUCUUGGUUUCUCAAACAGCAGGUAACAACCUCAUCUUUCCAAAGAGAUAGCUGUGCCUGACCUGUUUUUCAGGGCUCUUCUGGACAGCAGCCUGCUUCCAGCACAGAGAAGGGCCUGGCCUCAGGGGGAACCCUGGAGCCCACCAUGUGCCUCCUGCUCCAUCUUGGGAGCAGCAGGGCCCUGUCGGCACUCAGUAGAGCCUGGGAUUGGUGACUGAAGAGGGAGGUGGAGGCUUUAGGCAGCAGCGCUGAAAGAGGUGGCAACAGAUGACCUGCAUGGGAACUGGGGCCUGCAGAGACAUCACAGAGCGGGGGAAGUGUCUUCAGCUCUCGAAUUCUGGAAGCUGUCAGGGGAAGGGAGUCCCACAGCCAAACUGCAUGGUGGGUGGGCCACUGGGUCUGCUUCCAGUGUGUGGCGGGGCCCACAGGGAGCUGAGUUUUCCUGUUGGAUUUCCCACACCCGGCCUGCCUGUGUCUGGCCAAGAAGGCAUUGUUGAGCCUCAUGAGAUCACAAAGGUAGCUGUGCAGGCCCCGCCCACUUCCUAUAAGCCUGGUU